GUGGGGAAUUUUGGACAAUGGGCGCAAGCCUGAUCCAGCAAUGCCGCGUGCAGGAAGAAGGCCUUCGGGUUGUAAACUGCUUUUGUACGGAACGAAACGGUCCUGGUUAAUACCUGGGGCUAAUGACGGUACCGUAAGAAUAAGCACCGGCUAACUACGUGCCAGCAGCCGCGGUAAUACGUAGGGUGCAAGCGUUAAUCGGAAUUACUGGGCGUAAAGCGUGCGCAGGCGGUUUUGUAAGACAGGCGUGAAAGCCCCGGGCUCAACCUGGGAAUUGCGCUUGGGACUGCAAGGCUGGAGUGCGGCAGAGGGGGAUGGAAUUCCGCGUGUAGCAGUGAAAUGCGUAGAUAUGCGGAGGAACACCGAUGGCGAAGGCAAUCCCCUGGGCCUGCACUGACGCUCAUGCACGAAAGCGUGGGGAGCAAACAGGAUUAGAUACCCUGGUAGUCC
This 450-nucleotide ribosomal RNA is filed under the name uncultured bacterium. Its description in RNAcentral is "partial 16S ribosomal RNA". It matches the Rfam family "Bacterial small subunit ribosomal RNA", at positions 354 to 796 of the family's 1533-position model. The record is from RNAcentral.